RNAcentral lists this ribosomal RNA (553 nucleotides) under Lactiplantibacillus plantarum. RNAcentral's name for it is "bacterial SSU rRNA". It matches the Rfam family "Bacterial small subunit ribosomal RNA", at positions 1 to 555 of the family's 1533-position model. Lineage: Bacteria; Bacillati; Bacillota; Bacilli; Lactobacillales; Lactobacillaceae. The record is from RNAcentral.
AGGAAGUGCGGCAGCUAUAAUGCAGUCGAACGAACUCUGGUAUUGAUUGGUGCUUGCAUCAUGAUUUACAUUUGAGUGAGUGGCGAACUGGUGAGUAACACGUGGGAAACCUGCCCAGAAGCGGGGGAUAACACCUGGAAACAGAUGCUAAUACCGCAUAACAACUUGGACCGCAUGGUCCGAGUUUGAAAGAUGGCUUCGGCUAUCACUUUUGGAUGGUCCCGCGGCGUAUUAGCUAGAUGGUGGGGUAACGGCUCACCAUGGCAAUGAUACGUAACCGACCUGAGAGGGUAAUCGGCCACAUUGGGACUGAGACACGGCCCAAACUCCUACGGGAGGCAGCAGUAGGGAAUCUUCCACAAUGGACGAAAGUCUGAUGGAGCAACGCCGCGUGAGUGAAGAAGGGUUUCGGCUCGUAAAACUCUGUUGUUAAAGAAGAACAUAUCUGAGAGUAACUGUUCAGGUAUUGACGGUAUUUAACCAAAAAGCCACCGCUAACUACGUGCCACCAGCCGCGGUAAUACGUAGGUGUCAAGCGUUGUCCCGAUACAUU